This 512-nucleotide ribosomal RNA is filed under the name uncultured bacterium. RNAcentral's name for it is "partial 16S ribosomal RNA". It matches the Rfam family "Bacterial small subunit ribosomal RNA", at positions 28 to 523 of the family's 1533-position model. The record is from RNAcentral.
GACGAACGCUGGCGGCGUGCCUAAUACAUGCAAGUCGAGCGGAUUGAAGGGAGCUUGCUCCCUGAUAUUAGCGGCGGACGGGUGAGUAACACGUGGGCAACCUGCCCUGCAGAUGGGGAUAACUCCGGGAAACCGGGGCUAAUACCGAAUAAUCGGUUCUUCCGCAUGGAAGAACUCUGAAAGACGGUUUCGGCUGUCACUGCAGGAUGGGCCCGCGGCGCAUUAGCUAGUUGGUGGGGUAACGGCCUACCAAGGCGACGAUGCGUAGCCGACCUGAGAGGGUGAUCGGCCACCCUGGGAAUGAGACACGGCCCAGACUCCUACGGGAGGCAGCAGUAGGGAAUCUUCCAAAAUGGACGAAAGUCUGAUGGAGCAACGCCGCGUGAGCGAAGAAGGUUUUCGGAUCGUAAAGCUCUGUUGCGAGGGAAGAACAAGUACGAGAGUAACUGCUCGUACCUUGACGGUACCUCGUUAGAAAGCCACGGCUAACUACGUGCCAGCAGCCGCCGUAA